UACAGAGGGGGCAAGCGUUGUUCGGAAUUACUGGGCGUAAAGGGCGCGUAGGCGGCCUGUUAAGUCGAACGUGAAAUCCCCGGGCUCAACCCGGGAACUGCGUCCGAUACUGGCAGGCUUGAAUCCGGGAGAGGUUGGUGGAAUUCCCAGUGUAGAGGUGAAAUUCGUAGAUAUUGGGAAGAACACCGGUGGCGAAGGCGGCCAACUGGACCGCAACUGACGCUGAGGCGCGAAAGCGUGGGGAGCAAACAGG
Molecule: ribosomal RNA, 253 nt
Filed under: uncultured bacterium
Lineage: Bacteria
Description: partial 16S ribosomal RNA
Rfam family: Bacterial small subunit ribosomal RNA
Source: RNAcentral